CAUCCGCGGACUUUCAUUUGUAAACCUCCUAAAUCUCCUUCUGCAGUAAUCACAGACUGCGCGCGCAGGAAGAGAAAACGUUUUUAAAACUAAGUUCCCCCUUAUGACUCCGAGCUAGUUCCAUCCAAUUUAACAGGAGGGCGCGAACAACUGUUUCCAGGAUGCUAAUUUGCGCAGGAUUUUCAGUGUCGUUCUAAUUGUAAACACCGGCUAACUGAUUCAAUUAAUUGCCUUGGUAAGCAAUUGCUAAGCCUGAACAGGCCAAAUAAACGGCAGUGUGUUUAACGGAUAGAUAAAUUCCAUGGAUGUCCUUCUGCAGUAAAAAACGAGAUUUAGGACAAGGAGGAAUGGGUAUAACGCACAGGAUAGUUCACACGAGGCCAACCAGGGACGGACACCAAAGCACGCGACUGAACGUACCCCCACAUCCUCGGAGAUGAGUGGCGGCCAUUGUUCGCACAACUUCAAGGCUGAAAGCUCUGAAUGUUCAGCUGAAAGUGGAUAAAAGCCUCUCUUCAAAGCAUAGGAGGAUAACGAAGUAAAAACACCUAUCCAGAGCUUUUCCCUGUAGGCAAUCUAUCCUUUUCAUUUUCAAAUUUGUAUUUGCCACUGGUUUUGCAUACCUUUCAUGUUCUCUAAGUCUUGGGAGUACCAGUGAGACAUUUAUGAUAUGAUUUUGUUUAAAUGUAAAUAUUUGCUCAUAUUGUUUUUAUUUUCCUUGUUAUUAUUCUGUGCAGGGGAUGGUGUCUGUGUUGUAUGACCAAUCAGGAUACAGACACGUUACCUUUAUACUUACAUGGCUAGUGAUCUACUUUAGCACAGGUUCCUGAACAUGUGCAAUCAUCUCAAAUGCACUCCAAUCUCACUUCAGUAUUCAAUCUUCAAGAAAAGCCUGCCAGUGGUGAUUGAUGCUGCAGCAACGUGUACCGAUGGCCACAUGAUACUUUUGACCAAUGGGAGUAACUCCAUAAAAUUAUCUGAUGAUUUACUGCUAACGUGCUAUGUUCCUAUGCGUUUAAAAUUUCUGCAGUGUUUAUUUGAUACUUACGUUACCUAACACUGACAAAAUUGUGAUACUGUAAUGCCAAAAAAAUUCAGAAGGAAGUAUGCCAUGUAUUCACAAAGUGUAGUAUACACAAUUAAACUAAGUGGUACACGUAUCGAAUGUCAUAAGCGUAUUUUGUUGUUAAACAAUAUUGCAUGUACAAAAGAACUGUUGCGUUGCCAUGGUUAAUGUAAUUUGUGCUCACACAUUAUUGUUUUCAUCCAAUAUGCAUGCUGUGUGCGCA
Anguilla anguilla (European eel) is the source of this 1289-nucleotide long non-coding RNA. RefSeq lists it as uncharacterized. The transcript is spliced from 3 exons. The record is from RefSeq and is a predicted model, not a curated record. Lineage: Eukaryota; Metazoa; Chordata; Actinopteri; Anguilliformes; Anguillidae.